CUUUAAUCCUACAAUUUUGAGCAUACCUGAUCUCAUCAGAUUUUUGAAACUAAGAAGGAUUGGGCCUUGAUAGUACUUGAAUGGAUGACUCCAAAGAAUACCAGGAAACUCCAAGA
This 116-nucleotide ribosomal RNA is filed under the name Pogona vitticeps (central bearded dragon). The record is from RNAcentral. Lineage: Eukaryota; Metazoa; Chordata; Lepidosauria; Squamata; Agamidae.